RNAcentral lists this ribosomal RNA (492 nucleotides) under uncultured bacterium. RNAcentral describes it as "partial 16S ribosomal RNA". It matches the Rfam family "Bacterial small subunit ribosomal RNA", at positions 29 to 507 of the family's 1533-position model. The record is from RNAcentral.
AGUGAACGCUGGCGGUAGGCCUAACACAUGCAAGUCGAACGGCAGCACAGUAAGAGCUUGCUCUUACGGGUGGCGAGUGGCGGACGGGAGAGGAAUAUAUCGGAAUCUACUUUUUCGUGGGGGAUAACGUAGGGAAACUUACGCUAAUACCGCAUACGACCUACGGGUGAGAGCAGGGGAUCUUCGCACCUUGCGCGAUUGAAUGAGCCGAUGUCGGAUUAGCUAGUUGGCGGGGUAAAGGCCCACCAAGGCGACGAUCCGUAGCUGGUCUGAGAGGAUGAUCAGCCACACUGGAACGGAGACACGGACCAGACUCCUACGGGAGGCAGCAGUGGGGAAUAUUGGACAAUGGGCGCAAGCCUGAUCCAGCCAUACCGCGUGGGUGAAGAAGGCCUUCGGGUUGUAAAGCCCUUUUGUUGGGAAAGAAAAGCAGCAGGUUAAGACCCCGCUGUUCUGACGGUACCCAAAGAAUAAGCACCGGCUAACUACGUG